GCCUCCUAAAAGGUAACGGAGGCGCUCAAAGGUUCCCUCAGAAUGGUUGGAAAUCAUUCAUAGAGUGUAAAGGCAUAAGGGAGCUUGACUGCGAGACCUACAAGUCGAGCAGGGUCGAAAGACGGACUUAGUGAUCCGGUGGUUCCGCAUGGAAGGGCCAUCGCUCAACGGAUAAAAGCUACCCCGGGGAUAACAGGCUUAUCUCCCCCAAGAGUUCACAUCGACGGGGAGGUUUGGCACCUCGAUGUCGGCUCAUCGCAUCCUGGGGCUGUAGUCGGUCCCAAGGGUUGGGCUGUUCGCCCAUUAAAGCGGUACGCGAGCUGGGUUCAGAACGUCGUGAGACAGUUCGGUCCCUAUCCGUCGUGGGCGUAGGAAAUUUGAGAGGAGCUGUCCUUAGUACGAGAGGACCGGGAUGGACAUACCUCUGGUGUACCAGUUGUCGUGCCAACGGCAUAGCUGGGUAGCUAUGUGUGGACGGGAUAAGUGCUGAAAGCAUCUAAGCAUGAAGCCCCCCUCAAGAUGAGAUUUCCCAACUUCGGUUAUAAGAUCCCU
Molecule: ribosomal RNA, 552 nt
Filed under: Staphylococcus aureus
Lineage: Bacteria; Bacillati; Bacillota; Bacilli; Caryophanales; Staphylococcaceae
Description: partial 23S ribosomal RNA
Rfam family: Bacterial large subunit ribosomal RNA
Source: RNAcentral